GAUCCUGGCUCAGGAUGAACGCUGGCGGCGCGCCUAACACAUGCAAGUCGAACGGCACCUAUCUUCGGAUAGAAGCGAGUGGCGAACGGCUGAGUAACACGUGGAGAACCUGCCCCCCUCCCCCGGGAUAGCCGCCCGAAAGGACGGGUAAUACCGGAUACCCCGGGGUGCCGCAUGGCACCCCGGCUAAAGCCCCGACGGGAGGGGAUGGCUCCGCGGCCCAUCAGGUAGACGGCGGGGUGACGGCCCACCGUGCCGACAACGGGUAGCCGGGUUGAG
Molecule: ribosomal RNA, 279 nt
Filed under: uncultured bacterium
Lineage: Bacteria
Description: partial 16S ribosomal RNA
Rfam family: Bacterial small subunit ribosomal RNA
Source: RNAcentral